AGAGUUUGAUCCUGGCUCAGAACGAACGCUGGAGGCGUGCUUAACACAUGCAAGUCGAACGAGAAAAUUCUGGCUUGCCAGAGUGAGUAAAGUGGCGAACGGGUGAGUAACACGUGGGUAAUCUGCCUUCAAGUCACGGAUAACACUGCGAAAGCGGUGCUAAUACAUGAUAUGCUCACGGCAUCUACUGAAACUGUGAGAAAAGAUGGCCUCUUUUAAAUGCUAUUGCUUGGAGAUGAGCCCGCGUACCAUUAGCUAGUUGGUAGGAUAACGGCCUACCAAGGCUACGAUGGUUAGCUGGCCUGAGAGGGCGGUCAGCCACACUGGAACUGAGAUACGGUCCAGACUCCUACGGGAGGCAGCAGUGGGGAAUAUUGCGCAAUGGGGGAAACCCUGACGCAGCGACGCCGUGUGAGUGAUGAAGGCCUUCGGGUCGUAAAGCUCUGUCAGAUGGGAAGAAUAAGGUCAGUUAAAAUAUUUCUGUCCGAUGACGGUACCAUCAGAGGAAGCACCGGCUAACUCCGUGCCAGCAGCCGCGGUAAUACGGAGGGUGCUAGCGUUGUUCGGAAUUACUGGGCGUAAAGCGCGUGUAGGCGGAUGUGUAGGUCAGAUGUGAAAUCCCUUGGCUCAACUGAGGAAGUGCAUCUGAAACCACAUAUCUUGAGUACGAGAGAGGAGGGUGGAAUUCCCAGUGUAGAGGUGAAAUUCAUAGAUAUUGGGAAGAACACCUGUGGCGAAGGCGGCUCUCUGGCUCGAUACUGACGCUGAGACGCGAAAGCGUGGGUAGCAAACAGGAUUAGAUACCCUGGUAGUCCACGCCGUAAACGAUGUGCACUAGGUGUUGGAAGUAAUUAAACUUUCAGUGCCGCAGCUAACGCAUUAAGUGCACCGCCUGGGGAUUACGGUCGCAAGGCUAAAACUCAAAGGAAUUGACGG
RNAcentral lists this ribosomal RNA (936 nucleotides) under uncultured bacterium. RNAcentral's name for it is "bacterial SSU rRNA". It matches the Rfam family "Bacterial small subunit ribosomal RNA", at positions 8 to 916 of the family's 1533-position model. The record is from RNAcentral.